RNAcentral lists this long non-coding RNA (600 nucleotides) under Marmota monax (woodchuck). The record is from RNAcentral. Lineage: Eukaryota; Metazoa; Chordata; Mammalia; Rodentia; Sciuridae.
GCUGGGGAUGUGAUUCAGUGGUAAAGUGCCCCUGGGUGCAAUUCCUGGUACGUAUGUAUAAAUAAUAAGUAAGUUAGAAAAUAAAUAAAUUUACCAUCAUAACUGUUUCUAAGGGUACAUUUCACUAGUAUUACUAAGUACAAUCACAUUGUAGCUCAGUGGAGCAGCUGAAACUCCGCCCAUUAAACCACAAGCCCCCCUUUCUCUGUCUCGUCACUCUUAACAACUGCCCAGGCCCAUUUUUCGGGGGAGUAUGGAGAAUUGAACUCAGGGUGCUUAACCACAGAACCACAUCCCCAGCUCUUUUGAUUUUAUUCAUUUAUUUUUUAUUUUGAGACACAGCCGCACCAAGUGGCUUAGGGCCUCACUCAGUUUUGAGGGUGGCUUUGAGCUUGUGAUCCUCCUGCCUCAGCCUCCCGAGUCACUGGGAUUACACUCUUUGUUCCAUGUCGUUUGUACAGUUCACUCUUGAAGUGUGUAAUUCAACACGUUAUAGCAUAUCCACAGAGGCAGGCGCCAUUACCUUGAUUCCAAACAUUUUCAACACCCCAAAAAGAAAUGCUGUACCCAUUAGUAGUCUCCCCAUUCCCCUCUUCCUCG